AGUGAACGCUGGCGGUAGGCCUAACACAUGCAAGUCGAACGGCAGCACAGUAAGAGCUUGCUCUUACGGGUGGCGAGUGGCGGACGGGUGAGGAAUACAUCGGAAUCUACUUUUUCGUGGGGGAUAACGUAGGGAAACUUACGCUAAUACCGCAUACGACCUACGGGUGAAAGCAGUGGAUCUUCGGACCUUGCGCGAUUGAAUGAGCCGAUGUCGGAUUAGCUAGUUGGCGGGGUAAAGGCCCACCAAGGCGACGAUCCGGAGCUGGGCUGAGAGGAUGAGCAGCCACACUGGAACUGAGCCACGGUCCAGACUCCUACGGGAGGCAGCAGUGGGGAAUAUUGGACAAUGGGCGAAAGCCUGAUCCAGCCAUACCGCGUGGGUGAAGAAGGCCUUCGGGUUGUAAAGCCCUUUUGUUGGGAAAGAAAAGCAGCAGGUUAAUACCCCGCUGUUCUGACGGUACCCAAAGAAUAAGCACCGGCUAACUUCGUG
This 492-nucleotide ribosomal RNA is filed under the name uncultured bacterium. Its description in RNAcentral is "partial 16S ribosomal RNA". It matches the Rfam family "Bacterial small subunit ribosomal RNA", at positions 29 to 507 of the family's 1533-position model. The record is from RNAcentral.